This 207-nucleotide ribosomal RNA is filed under the name uncultured bacterium. Its description in RNAcentral is "partial 16S ribosomal RNA". It matches the Rfam family "Bacterial small subunit ribosomal RNA", at positions 568 to 774 of the family's 1533-position model. The record is from RNAcentral.
CGUGUAGGCGGCUUAUUAAGUCAGAUGUGAAAGCCCACGGCUUAACCGUGGAACUGCAUUUGAUACUGAUAGGCUUGAGUAUGAGAAGGGGUAGUGGAAUUCCCAGUGUAGCGGUGAAAUGCGUAGAUAUUGGGAGGAACACCAGUAGCGAAGGCGACUACCUGGCUCAUUACUGACGCUAAUGCGCGAAAGCGCGGGGAGCAAACA